This 253-nucleotide ribosomal RNA is filed under the name uncultured bacterium. RNAcentral describes it as "partial 16S ribosomal RNA". It matches the Rfam family "Bacterial small subunit ribosomal RNA", at positions 524 to 776 of the family's 1533-position model. The record is from RNAcentral.
UACGUAGGGGGCAAGCGUUGUCCGGAAUCAUUGGGCGUAAAGCGCGUGUAGGCGGCUCGAUAAGUCCGCUCUGAAAGUCCGGGGCUCAACCCCGGGAGGCGGGUGGAUACUGUCGGGCUAGAGUCCGGAAGAGGCGAGUGGAAUUCCUGGUGUAGCGGUGAAAUGCGCAGAUAUCAGGAGGAACACCAAUUGCGAAGGCAGCUCGCUGGGACGGUACUGACGCUGAGACGCGAAAGCGUGGGGAGCGAACAGG